This 717-nucleotide long non-coding RNA is filed under the name Bos grunniens (domestic yak). Its description in RNAcentral is "lncRNA (ENSBGRG00000008594.1)". The record is from RNAcentral. Lineage: Eukaryota; Metazoa; Chordata; Mammalia; Artiodactyla; Bovidae.
CGGUGGAGACAGGAUGUCCCAGGUUCGCAGGGACGGCAGUCGCCCAACCCACAACCGGCCCCACCCUCCCGGGAGGGAGCGCUAGUCCUCCCCAAGUUCCAUCCCCACCCCCAGCUUCCCAGGGCUGAAACCCCGGGAACUGCCGGGCCAGGGAAGGGCGGGACUGACUCGUGCCGUACCUGUCCGCGGGAUUUCCCGAGCCCUGCCCGGCCGCCCCGGGAGCGGAGUGGCGAGCCGGACUCCGAGUCGACCCGACCCCGGGGCAGCACCGGAGCGGACCGGGCAGCAGUGGGCGCUCGCGAUCCUCCUCGGCCCGACACGCUCUCCCUUCGGGCCCGGCCUCCUCUGUCCCCUCCUCCCGCUCCCGCUCCUCCCUCUGCUCCUCCCCUCGGCGGCGGUGAUAACCUCGCCUCCCCGCCUGCAAAGUCCCCGGCGCGAGGGCAGCCGCGAACCGCCGCCACCACUGGGUCUCCGCGGGCGCCUGCGCCGGUGUCUCGCCCUCCGGCCCGGGUCGUCCUGGAAAAACUCGCUCCGCUGGCCGCCGGGGCUCCACGGCGCUGCCCAUGGCCAAGCCCAGGAGCCGACUUCGGGCGCCGGACCGGCUGGACAGCCGAGGCGCGGCUCAGUAAUCAGAAGCCUGCAAUACCCAUGUGUCACUGAUCUGGAGACGACCCCCCGCGGGCAGCACUUCAUGACCCAGCGGCGCCCGGCCCAGUG